GUUGUGGUUAAAAGCUCGUAGUUGAACCUUGGGCCUGGCUGGCCGGUCCGCCUCACCGCGAGUACUGGCUCGGCCGGGCCUUUCCCCCUGUGGAACCCCAUGCCCUUCACUGGGCGUGGCGGGAAAACAGGACUUUUACUUUGAAAAAAUUAGAGUGCUCCAGGCAGGCCUAUGCUCGAAUACAUUAGCAUGGAAUAAUAGAAUAGGACGUGUGGUUCUAUUUUGUUGGUUUCUAGGACCGCCGUAAUGAUUAAUAGGGACAGUCGGGGGCAUCAGUAUUCAAUUGUCAGAGGUGAAAUUCUUGGAUUUAUUGAAGACUAACUACUGCGAAAGCAUUUGCCAAGGAUGUUUUCAUUAAUCAGGAACGAAAGUUAGGGGAUCGAAGACGAUCAGAUACCGUCGUAGUCUUAACCAUAAACUAUGCCGACUAGGGAUCGGACGAUGUUAUUUUUUGACUCGUUCGGCACCUUACGAGAAAUCAAAGUGCUUGGGCUCCAGGGGGAGUAUGGUCGCAAGGCUGAAACUUAAAGAAAUUGACGGAAGGGCACCACCAGGGGUGGAGCCUGCGGCUUAAUUUGACUCAACACGGGGAAACUCACCAGGUCCAGACACAAUGAGGAUUGACAGAUUGAGAGCUCUUUCUUGAUUUUGUGGGUGGUGGUGCAUGGCCGUUCUUAGUUGGUGGAGUGAUUUGUCUGCUUAAUUGCGAUAACGAACGAGACCUUAACCUGCUAAAUAGCCCGUAUUGCUUUGGCAGUACGCUGGCUUCUUAGAGGGACUAUCGGCUCAGCCGAUGGAAGUUUGAGGCAAUAACAGUCUGUGAUGCCCUUAGAUGUUCUGGGGCGCACGCGCGCUA
Molecule: ribosomal RNA, 856 nt
Filed under: uncultured fungus
Lineage: Eukaryota; Fungi
Description: SSU rRNA
Rfam family: Eukaryotic small subunit ribosomal RNA
Source: RNAcentral